AUGUCUUCGGAGGUGCCAUCCAAUGAAAUGCCUGAAGGUUGCUGAAGUACAGACCGAAGACAGUAGUACGUGGUUACAGGGAACAUGAAGAUUGUCUGCAGGAACAAAGGCAGCACAAUAUGAUCAUGGAGAAGGCAUCCUGUGUUGUGAAUAGUAAGUGUGC
Long non-coding RNA from Rhipicephalus microplus (southern cattle tick), 163 nucleotides. NCBI's taxonomy places the organism in Eukaryota, Metazoa, Arthropoda, Arachnida, Ixodida, Ixodidae. The record is from RefSeq and is a predicted model, not a curated record.